CUUGAUGAAAGAGCCACUGGCCCCUUCGCUUUAUAACAGCGCCACCUGCCGGACCAUAGAACGACGAAGCAAGAGCUGUGACUGCAACAGCUAGCAACUGCAGCUAGUUGUUUUUUUUGCACAUCACUUGGAAUAUGUGUUGCUAAGCGACAGCAUCAGGAGUGGGAGUGAGGAGAGAGCAUGCAUGCAGCAACAGAGGAUGCAAGGUAAAGAUGAGCAGAAUUCAAAGCAUUAUGGUGUGUGUAGUAGUUCAAACUUUAAUGGGGUUUUUCCAUAAAAUGUUCAUAUAGCACACACACACACACACACACACACACACACACACACACACACACACACACACACACACACACACACACACACACACACACACACACACACACACACACACACACACACACACACACACACACACACACACACACACAAACAGCUAUGUCUUACUAUACCAACAAUUGAUUCCCAUUCACACACACAUACACAUGUGUACACAUAUUGUUUCUGAAAUAUGAAACUGUAAGCUGCAACAGCUGACAAAUGAACCACAGGGUAGGACAAAAAGCCCUCCCUCUACUGUAAAGAAGCUGUAACAGCUGACAAAUGAACCACAGGGUAGGACAAACCCCCUCUACUGUAGAGAAGCUACAUUCUUGUCUCUUCUGUAGAUGUUAUAACCAUGUAUUGCUACCACUGCUACCACUGGUCAAAGGAAUGAUGUGUAAGUGAGUUUCAGAUAUGAAUUUAUGAAUGUUAUCUUUUACUAGCAAGUUAUCAAAUUUCAUGAACCUUGUUUCUUAGGCUACGUAUGUUAAUGUGGCCUGUUUUUAGCACUUUACUGGGAUGUUUCAUUGUUUUUAUUGCUUUACUUAUCAGAAGACGACAGCAAUAUUUACACUGAACAAAAAUAUAAACACAACAUGCAACAAUUUCAACGAUUUUACUGAGUUUCAUUUCAUCUAAGGUAAUCAGUCAGUUGAAAUAUAUAGGCCCUUAUUUAUGGAUUUCACAUGACUGGGAAUACAGAUAUUCAUCUGUUGGUCACAGAUACAGAAAAAAAAGGUAGUGGCGUGGAUCAGAAAACCAGUCAGUAUCUGGUGUGACCAUAAUUUGCCUCAUGCAGGGCGACACAUCUCCUUCACAUAGAGUUGAUCAGGCUGUUGAUUGUGGCCUGUGGAAUGUUGUCCCAUGUAACGGAUGUGAAAUGGCUAGCUAGUUAGCGGGUACGCGCUAGUAGCAUUUCAAUCAGUUACGUCACUUGCUCUGAGACUUAAGUAGUGUUGCCCCUUGCUCUGCAAGGGCCGCGGCUUUUGUGGAGCGAUGGGUAACGAUGCUUCGUGGGCAACCGUUGUUGAUGUGUGCAGAGGUUCUCUGGUUCGCGCCCGUGUCGGGGCGAGGGGACGACGUAAAGUUAGUACUGUUACAUUGAUGCUGUUGACCCGGAUCACUGGUUGCUGCGGAAAAGGAGGAGGUUGAAAGGGGGGUGAGUGUAACGGAUGUGAAAUGGCUAGCUAGUUAGCGGGUACGCGCUAGUAGCAUUUCAAUCAGUUACGUCACUUGCUCUGAGACUUAAGUAGUGUUGCCCCUUGCUCUGCAAGGGCCGCGGCUUUUGUGGAGCGAUGGGUAACGACGCUUCGUGGUUGACUGUUGUUGAUGUGUGCAGAGGGUCCCUGGUUCGCGCCCGUGUCGGGGCGAGGGGACGACGUAAAGUUAUACUGUGACACCCACUCCUCUUCAAUGGUUGUGCGAAGUUGCUGGAUAUUGGCGGGAACUGGAACAUGUUGUCAUACACGUCGAUCCAGAGCAUCCCAAACAUGCUCAAUGGGUGACAUGUCUGGUGAGUAUGCAGGCCAUGGAAGAACUGGGACAUUUUUAGCUUCCCGGGAAUUGUGUACAGAUCCUUGCGACAUGGGGCCGUGCAUUAUCAUGCUGAAACAUGAGAUGAUGGCGGCGGAUGAAUGGCACGAAAAUGGACCUCAGGAUCUCUGUGCAUUCAAUUUGCCAUCGAUAAAAUGCAAUGUGUUCGUUGCCCGUAGCUUAUGCCUCCCCAUACCAUAACCCGACCGACACCAUGGGGAACUCUGUUCACCACGUUGACGUCAGCAAACCGCUCGCCAACACGACACCAUGGGGAACUCUGUUCACCACGUUGACAUCAGCAAACCGCUCGCCAACACGACACCAUACACACUGUCUGCCAUCUGCCCGGUACAGUUGAAACUGGGAUUCAUCCAUGCAGAGCACAUUUCUCCAGAGUGCCCACUGAAGUCGAUUACAACGCCUAACUGCAGUCAGGUCAAGACCCUGGUGAGGACGACGAGCACGCAGAUGAGCUUCCCUGAGAGUUUCUGGCAGUUUGUGCAGAAAUUCUUUGGUUGUGUAAACCCAAUCAGGGUUUAAUCAGCGGCCCAGGUGGCUGGUCAAAUUGUAGAAUCCAGUUCCUACAUUUGAAUAUAAAAAUCGAUUUUAUCAAACAAAACUAUGCUACAUUUUAUCUCUGGGGCCCUCAGGAUGACAAAUCAGAGCAAGAUUACUGACUGUAAGUACAUUAUUUACAUUCAGAGGUGAAUGUAUCGAACCAGUUGCCGUGAAUAAAGUUUUUUGUUGUUAUGCACUCUCCUCAAACAAUACCGUGGUAUUUUUUCACUGUAAUAGCUCCAGUAAAUUGGACAGUGCAUUUAGAUUAACAAGAAUUUAAGCUUUCUGCCAAUAUCAGAUAUGUCAAUGUCUAAUUUUCUUGUUACUUACAUCAUCAUGCUAAUCACAUUAGCACACGUUAGCUCAACCAAUCCCGUAGAGGUUUUAACAGCCAAUGACUCACAAUGCUCCUAGUAGGGCAAACCGUCUCAUUGCUAACAGGAUAACUCAGGUUGAUAUGUGCAUGAUACUGCUGACCAUAGCAUUCAGGGGAGUUAUAGAAACAUAAAUUAGGUUACCCUCAUCACUAUCAAACGCUCCCUAAAACACUUCAGCGAGCAGGCCUAUCUAAUCAACCUGGCCCGGGUAUCCUGGAAGGAUAUUGACCUCAUCCCGUCAGUAGUGGAUGCCUGUAGCCUCCAACCUCUCUCAUUCUAUUGGAGAGUGGCUCCAAUAAAUGAAUGUAUAGCGGCCAGGCAGUCUUCAUGAGUGUGUGGAGCCACAAUCCAAUAGGAUGAGGGAGGUUUGAGGCUACAGGGAGCAGGGGACACAUUAGUUAAUGAAUAGAUCAUUAGUGCACAUAGCAGCAAAAUGUUUUGGCAACUGAAAGUGUUAUUGCAACAAAAACAAGAGUUUCUUAUUGGACAGAUUCAGGUAGGUGGUCCCUCCCCUUUUUCUGUCUGUUUUGGUGUCUAGUCAACACGAGCCUGACGAUGAUGUGCUAUCACAGUAUCCCACAAGAUGGCAGCACAGAGCAGAGGUGGAGUUUGAACUAAGCAUAUGCGAAUAACGAAUAAUGUAUUCAAACCCACAUAUUCAAACUUCUGCAACUCAUUACAUUGGAAUAGAGGAGAGCUUUGCAGACUCAUGAUCAUCUGCAGUAUCUCUCUCUCUUUCAACAUCUCUUCUUUCUCUCUCUCUCUCUCUCUCUCUCUCUCUCUCUCACACUCGCUUGCUCUCUCUCUUUCAACAUCUCUUCUUUCUCGUCUCUCAGAAUGGAAUAAGAGAUGAUUGGCCAUACAGCUCUCCUCACUAUAUAAUAACAGAUGAUUGGUCAUACAGCUCUCCUCACUAAAUAAUAGCAGAUGAUUGGUCAUACAGCUCUCCUCACUAAAUAAUAACAGAUGAUUUGUCAUACAGCUCUCCUCACUAUAUAAUAACAGAUGAUUGGUCAUACAGCUCUCCUCACUAAAUAAUAACAGAUGAUUGGUCAUACAGCUCUCCUCACUAUAUAAUAACAGAUGAUUGGUCAUACAGCUCUCCUUACUAUAUAAUAACAGAGGAUUGGCCAUACAGCUCUCCUUACUAUAUAAUAAGAGAUGAUUGGUCAUACAGCUCUCCUCACUAAAUAAUAACAGAUGAUUGGUCAUACAGCUCUCCUCACUAUAUAAUAACAGAUGAUUGGUCAUACAGCUCUCCUCACUAUAUAAUAACAGAGGAUUGGCCAUACAGCUCUCCUUACUAUAUAAUAAGAGAUGAUUGGUCAUACAGCUCUCCUCACUAUAUAAUAACAGAGGAUUGGCCAUACAGCUCUCCUCACUAUAUAAUAAGAGAUGAUUGGUCAUACAGCUCUCCUCACUAUAUAAUAACAGAUGAUUGGCCAUACAGCUCUCCUCACUAUAUAAUAACAGAUGAUUGGCCAUACAGCUCUCCUCACUAUAUAAUAAGAGAUGAUUGGCCAUACAGCUCUCAUCACUAUAUAAUAAGAAAAUUAUGAGGUCUGUGUGGUUGUUUUUGUUUAACUGUCCUCUCUCUCUCUCUCUCUCUCUCUCUCUCUCUCUCCCUCUCUCUCUCUCUCUCUCUCUCUCUCUCUUUCUCUCUCUCUCUCUCUCUCUCUCUCUCUCUCUCUCUCUCUCUCUCUCUCUCUCUCUCUCUCUCUCUCUCUCUCUCUCUCUCUCUCUCUCUCUUCCACCUGUCCUUGUGCUUGUCUCCACCCCCUCCAGGUGUCACCCAUCUUCCCCACUUAUCCUCUGGGUAUAUAUAUACUGGUGUUUUCUGUCUGUCUGUGCCAGCUUGUCUUGUUUGUUCAAAUCAACCAGCGGUUUGUCUCAACUACUGUUUUUCCCCAGUCUCUUUUUUUCUCGCCCUCCUGGUUUUUGACCCUUGACUGUCCUGACCCUGUAUCCACCCGCCUGACCACUCUGCCUGACCCUGAGCCUGCCUGCUGUCCUGUACCUUGACCUCUACUCUGGAUUACCGACCUCUGCCUGACCUGAGCCUGCCUGCUGUCCUGUACCUUGACCUCUACUCUGGAUUACCGACCUCUGCCUGACCCUGAGCCUGCCUGUCAUCCUGUACCUUGACCUCUACUCUGGAUUACCGACCUCUGCCUGACCCUGAGCCUGCCGUCCUGUACCUUGACCUCUACUCUGGAUUACCGACCUCUGCCUGACCUGAGCCUGCCUGUCAUCCUGUACCUUGACCUCUACUCUGGAUUACCGACCUCUGCCUGACCCUGAGCCUGCCGUCCUGUACCUUGACCUCUACUCUGGAUUACCGACCUCUGCCUGACCCUGAGCCUGCCGUCCUGUACCUUGACCUCUACUCUGGAUUACCGACCUCUGCCUGACCUGAGCCUGCCUGCUGUCCUGUACCUUGACCUCUACUCUGGAUUACCGACCUCUGCCUGACCCUGAGCCUGCCGUCCUGUACCUUGACCUCUACUCUGGAUUACCGACCUCUGCCUGCCUUGUCCUGCCAUUUGCCCCUGGUGUUACUAUAAACAUUGUUACUUCACACAGUCUGCACUUGGGUCUUACCUUGAUUCCUGAUAUCAACAUUAAACUCCAAAGGAAUGAAGACAUUUAUUCCAAAUGUCAUAUUAUGUGCAAAUAAUUAAACUACAAAAGGAAAUAAAUAAACAUAAAUAUGGGUUGUAUAUACAAUGUUUGUUCUUCACUGGUUGCCCUUUUUUUGUGGCAACAGUUCACAAAUGUUGCUGCUGUGAUGGCACACUGUGGUGUUUCACCCAAUAGAUAUGGGAGUUUAUUAAAAUUGGAUUUGUUUUUGAA
Salvelinus fontinalis (brook trout) is the source of this 5645-nucleotide long non-coding RNA. RefSeq lists it as uncharacterized. The transcript has 2 exons. The record is from RefSeq and is a predicted model, not a curated record. Lineage: Eukaryota; Metazoa; Chordata; Actinopteri; Salmoniformes; Salmonidae.